UAAAAAGUGGCUUUCUGAUCUCAUAG
Molecule: non-coding RNA, 26 nt
Filed under: Cricetulus griseus (Chinese hamster)
Lineage: Eukaryota; Metazoa; Chordata; Mammalia; Rodentia; Cricetidae
Source: RNAcentral